Molecule: ribosomal RNA, 484 nt
Filed under: uncultured bacterium
Lineage: Bacteria
Description: partial 16S ribosomal RNA
Rfam family: Bacterial small subunit ribosomal RNA
Source: RNAcentral
AUUGAACGCUGGCGGCAUGCCUUACACAUGCAAGUCGAACGGCAGCGCGGACUUCGGUCUGGCGGCGAGUGGCGAACGGGUGAGUAAUACAUCGGAACGUACCCUGUUGUGGGGGAUAACUAGUCGAAAGAUUAGCUAAUACCGCAUACGACCUGAGGGUGAAAGUGGGGGACCGCAAGGCCUCACGCAGCAGGAGCGGCCGAUGUCUGAUUAGCUAGUUGGUGGGGUAAAGGCCCAACAAGGCGACGAUCAGUAGCUGGUCUGAGAGGACGAUCAGCCACACUGGGACUGAGACACGGCCCAGACUCCUACGGGAGGCAGCAGUGGGGAAUUUUGGACAAUGGGGGCAACCCUGAUCCAGCAAUGCCGCGUGUGUGAAGAAGGCCUUCGGGUUGUAAAGCACUUUUGUCCGGAAAGAAAUCGCGCUGGUUAAUACCUGGCGUGGAUGACGGUACCGGAAGAAUAAGCACCGGCUAACUACGUG